UACGUAGGGUGCGAGCGUUGUCCGGAAUUACUGGGCGUAAAGAGCUCGUAGGUGGUUUGUCGCGUUGUUCGUGAAAACUCACAGCUUAACUGUGGGCGUGCGGGCGAUACGGGCAGACUGGAGUACUGCAGGGGAGACUGGAAUUCCUGGUGUAGCGGUGGAAUGCGCAGAUAUCAGGAGGAACACCGGUGGCGAAGGCGGGUCUCUGGGCAGUAACUGACGCUGAGGAGCGAAAAGCGUGGGGGAGCGAACAGGG
RNAcentral lists this ribosomal RNA (256 nucleotides) under uncultured bacterium. RNAcentral describes it as "partial 16S ribosomal RNA". It matches the Rfam family "Bacterial small subunit ribosomal RNA", at positions 524 to 777 of the family's 1533-position model. The record is from RNAcentral.